CUUACCAUCCGGAAUCGCAGGGGGUGCUUGAGCAAUUCCAUCAGACUCUCAAGUCUAUGCUACGCGCAUACUGCCUUGAGUUUGAAAAGGACUGGGAUGAGGGUGUACAUUUAAUGCUUUUUGCUGUGCGGGAGGUUGUACAAGAAUCGCUAGGGUUCAGUCCUGCUGAAUUAGUUUUUGGUCACACUGUACCCGGCCCUCUGAAGCUGCUCAAGGAGAAGUGGCUGACAGAGGACAGUCACAUGAACCUGCUUGAUUUUGUAUGCAAUUUCCGUUUAAAAUUGCAUCGAGCAGGCGAGUUAGCGAGGGAAAAUCUAGAGUCCUCGCAAAAGAGGAUGAAAUGCUGGUUCGAUCGUGGUGCAGAGAUGCGAACUUUUUCGCCUGGCGAUAAAGUUAUGGUGCUCCUGCCCAUCCCGGGGUCUGCUUUGCAGGCGCGCUACAGCGGCCCGUACCUGAUUGAAUGUCGGGUGGGUGAUCGUGAUUACCUGAUAGCCACUCCUGACCGCAGGAAAAGGAGUCGCCUGUGUCACGUUAACAUGAUCAGGCCCUACUGGGAUCGUCAGCCUGGAGAGGAAGGUGAGGUAAAAGGUGUGGCCUUGUCGGGCAUUACCUUUACUCCUCCCGAACAGGAGGGGGGGGAUGUGCUUAUACCCCCGAAGAGUGUGACAGAAGGCAGGCUGCAGAAUUCUGAAUUUCUGCGCAGCCUUGAGGUGCAGCUGUCUCAUUUGUCUAGUGAUGAAAGUGCAGAGAUUGCGAGACUCAUUCGUUCGCACCUGACCCUGUUUUCUGAUGUGCCUACCCGUACUCACCUAUUAGAGCAUGACAUCGACGUGGGUGGGUUUUCUCCAAUAAAACAGCACCCAUAUCGCGUUAAUCCAGAAAAACAUUCACAGUUAAAGAAAAAGGUGGAUUAUAUGUUAAAGAAUGGCAUCGCUGAGCCCAGCUCGAGCGAUUGGAGUUCUCCCUGUCUGCUCGUUAACAAACCUGACGGCACUUUUUGUUUUUGCACCGACUACAGGAAGGUGAAUACAGUCACUAAACCUGACUGUUACCCUCUCCCUAGGAUGGAUGACUGUGUAGACCGGGUGGGUUCGGCUGCUUAUGUAAGCAAAUUUGAUUUGCUUAAGGGUUACUGGCAAGUCCCCCUGUCAAAACGCGCGAAGUAGAUUUCCGCUUUUGUUACACCAGACACUUUCUUGCAAUAUACGGUGAUGCCUUUCGGGAUGCGAAACGCUCCGGCUACUUUUCAGAGGUUGGUUAACCUCGUUGUGUCCGACCUGCCAGGUUGCGAGGCGUAUUUGGAUGACCUGGUAAUUUACAGUGCGACUUGGGCCGAACACAUUAAUCAGAUGGGAGAACUCUUUGAUCGUUUGUCUGCUGCUAAUUUAACCGUGAAUCUGGCAAAGUGCAAGUUUGGCCAAGCAACUGUCAUGUACUUGGGCAAAGUUGUGGGUCGGGGACAGGUACAUCCAGUUGACUCGAAGGUGGAGUCCGUGUUGGAAUUUCCGGCUCCCAAAACCCGCCGUGAGCUGCGGAGAUUCUUAGGAAUGGUGGGUUACUACCGCAGUUUUUGCAAAAACUUCUCUGCGGUUGUUUCGCCGUUAACGGACCUCCUCAGCCCUAAGACUUAUUUUACGUGGACUGAUAAAUGUCAACGGUCAUUUGAGAACGUGAAAGCCUUGUUGGUCAGCACACCUGUUCUCUCCGCACCCGAUUUUAUACGCCCUUUUAAAUUGCUGUGGAUGCAAGUGACUGUGGUGCUGGAGCCCUUCUCAUGCAGGAGGACACUCACAGUGUUGAUCAUCCCGUGUGCUACUUUUCGAGGAAGUUUAACUGACAUCAGCGGUUAUACUCCACGAUAGAGAAGGAGGCUUUGGCUCUGGUUCUUGCAUUACAGCACUUUGACAUUUAUGUAGGCUCCUCUUCACGCCCCGUCGUGGUGCAGACGGAUCACAACCCACUUGUCUUCCUUCACCGCAUGCAUAACAAUAACCAGCGCCUCAUGUGGUGGAGCUUAUUUUUGCAGUGUUAUGAUUUAGACAUUCGGCACAUCCAAGGGCGUGAUAACGUUGUUGCCGACGCAUUGUCCCGUAUGCACGAAUGUGACAAUAAAUAGAGAAUUAUUUAUUGUCUUAAGGGUGGGGGUGUUACAUCCCUGUGUAUUAUUUAGAACAUUAUUAUUAUUAAGGGAUGUUACUUUUCUGUGUUUUUGGCUGGGUAUUGCUGGUUGUUUGUGUUCCCCUAUACAGGUGGUGAUAAACAUGUAUCCUGUUGCCGGGUGACCUGACUAGGAGGAUGCGCGGUGACGAGGAUGCCGGUGUCGUCGCUCGGAGACAGGACCAGAUGCGGCCGUAGCUAAGAACAACGGUUAGAAGAUGCGGGUCUAUAUAACAGCUGGACGCCGUCAUCACAAGAGAGCCAUCUUUUCGUCUGCUACUGGAAGCCAUGCUUGACUUCGCUCUGCUCCGAGAGUUCUAUUCCAACAUUAACAGUUUUUAAUAGUAGCCCAGUAUUAGAUUAGUCGCGCUGUAUCCGGCAGUACAGUACUUGACCAGCAGAGGACGCUAACAUCACGUAAUCCCUGCGAUUGGACCUGGUGGAGAGGACCGGCCUCACGGAGGACUUGGACCGCUGUACUGGCUGCCCGAUACCACAGAAUCAGGCAGCAAGCACGACGAGAGGUGAAUAUCAACAACUGACAGCAUAUCAUAAUGUUCAAUGUGUUGUCAUUGGAAAUCCACUUGCAAAUAAGCGUUUCAAUGUUCUGUCUAUGUAGCUCCCUCCAGUAAUCAUGAGCACAAGGGUUCUUUAAUUCAACUGGCAGUUUAUUACGAUUGCACCAAUCAUGGAUUCAUCCAGAAUCACCAUCCCGUGAGAACUUAAAGAAAAUAAAACACAAAAUACAUAAA
Molecule: long non-coding RNA, 2909 nt
Organism: Anguilla rostrata (American eel)
Lineage: Eukaryota; Metazoa; Chordata; Actinopteri; Anguilliformes; Anguillidae
Exons: 2
Source: RefSeq, a predicted model, not a curated record